AUUGAACGCUGGCGGCAGGCCUAACACAUGCAAGUCGAACGAGUGGCGGACGGGUGAGUAAUGUCUGGGAAACUGCCUGAUGGAGGGGGAUAACUACUGGAAACGGUAGCUAAUACCGCAUACCAUCAGAUGUGCCCAGAUGGGAUGAGCUUGUUGGUGGGGUAACGGCUCAACAAGGCGACGAUGCCUAGCUGGUCUGAGAGGAUGACCCGCGACACUGGAACUGAGACACGGUCCAGAAUACUACGGGAGGCAGCAGUGGGUAAUAUUUCACAAGGGGCGAAAGCCUGAUGCAGCCAUGGCGCGUGUAUGAAGAAGGGCUUCGGGUUGUAAAGUACUUGCAGCGGGGAGGCGUUACCUGCAGAAGAAGCACCGGCUAACUCCGUGCCAGCAGCCGCGGUAAUAC
Molecule: ribosomal RNA, 406 nt
Filed under: uncultured bacterium
Lineage: Bacteria
Description: partial 16S ribosomal RNA
Rfam family: Bacterial small subunit ribosomal RNA
Source: RNAcentral